GAGAUGGGUUUUGCAUUAUUUUAGUACUAUAUUUGAGAUAUAGCUCAUGACUAGAGAUGGCCUAAGCUACUUGACUGAAUUAAUCGCUCACCAAAACCAAGAUAGAGAAUAAAAAAUGUAUAAAUUGACAAUUGGAUGUUACCUAAGAGCAGCUCCAGCGAGGGAGCCCAGCCCGAGGCGAGGGCAGGAAAAAAAAAAAAAGUCGCUCCAGCGUACAGCCCAGGCCCGGAGGUGGUGUGGGACCCACCAACUCGGGCCAGCCCGAAGGCGAGACCAGCCCGAGGUCCAACUCGCGUGUUGCUGACGUCAGCCUCGCGUCACGCUGACGUCAGCGCGCCAGGUCCAAGGUACGCUGCCACGUGUCGCCUCCCCAGCCUUCCGAUCUGCUUCUCCAAAUUAAUCCAACGGCUGAGGCUUUUUUGGGCAAUAAAAAUAUGAAAAAAAAUCGUAAAUUUUUUUAAAAAAUUCUAAAAAAU
Molecule: long non-coding RNA, 476 nt
Filed under: Prunus persica (peach)
Lineage: Eukaryota; Viridiplantae; Streptophyta; Magnoliopsida; Rosales; Rosaceae
Description: long non-coding RNA (PPER_LNC006697)
Source: RNAcentral